GAGUCGUUAGCUCAGCUGGUAGAGCACCUCACUUUUAAUGAGGUGGUCCUGGGUUCGAAUCCCAGACGACUCA
RNAcentral lists this transfer RNA (73 nucleotides) under Leptospira inadai serovar Lyme. Its description in RNAcentral is "tRNA-Lys". It matches the Rfam family "tRNA". Rfam says of the family: Transfer RNA (tRNA) molecules are approximately 80 nucleotides in length. Their secondary structure includes four short double-helical elements and three loops (D, anti-codon, and T loops). Further hydrogen bonds mediate the characteristic L-shaped molecular structure. tRNAs have two regions of fundamental functional importance: the anti-codon, which is responsible for specific mRNA codon recognition, and the 3' end, to which the tRNAs corresponding amino acid is attached (by aminoacyl-tRNA synthetases). tRNAs cope with the degeneracy of the genetic code in two manners: having more than one tRNA (with a specific anti-codon) for a particular amino acid; and 'wobble' base-pairing, i.e. permitting non-standard base-pairing at the 3rd anti-codon position. RNAcentral also lists the same sequence under 5 other names. Lineage: Bacteria; Pseudomonadati; Spirochaetota; Leptospiria; Leptospirales; Leptospiraceae. The record is from RNAcentral.